AAUCAACGCUGGCGGCGUGCCUCAGACAUGCAAGUCGAACGCGAAAUCCCGAGCAAUCGGGAGAGUAGAGUGGCGCACGGGUGAGUAACACGUAGGUAAUCUACCUUCGGAUGGGGAAUAACAACCGGAAACGGUUGCUAAUACCGCAUAAUGCAGCGGCACCUAAUGGUGACAGUUGUUAAAGCGGGGGAUCGAAAGACCUCGCGUCUGAAGAGGAGCCUGCGGCGGAUUAGCUAGUUGGUAAGGUAAUGGCUUACCAAGGCAACGAUCCGUAACCGGCCUGAGAGGGCGGUCGGUCACACUGACACUGACAUACGGGUCAGACUCCUACGGGAGGCAGCAGUCGGGAAUUUUGGGCAAUGGGCGAAAGCCUGACCA
RNAcentral lists this ribosomal RNA (378 nucleotides) under uncultured bacterium. RNAcentral's name for it is "bacterial SSU rRNA". It matches the Rfam family "Bacterial small subunit ribosomal RNA", at positions 32 to 389 of the family's 1533-position model. The record is from RNAcentral.